RNAcentral lists this unclassified non-coding RNA (391 nucleotides) under soil metagenome. RNAcentral's name for it is "partial contains 5.8S ribosomal RNA, internal transcribed spacer 2, and large subunit ribosomal RNA". The stretch from base 1 to 122 matches the Rfam family "5.8S ribosomal RNA", at positions 35 to 154 of the family's 154-position model. The record is from RNAcentral.
GAUGAAGAACGUAGCGAAAUGCGAUAUUUGGUGUGAAUUGCAGAAUCCCGUGAACCAUCGAGUCUUUGAACGCAAGUUGCGCCCGAAGCCAUUAGGCCGAGGGCACGCCUGCCUGGGCGUCACACGUCGUUGCCCCCCCAUCUACUCCUUCGGGAUUGCGGGGGGCGGAUGAUGGCCUCCCGUGCGCCUCGUCGCGCGGUUGGCAUAAAUGCCAAGUCCUCGGCGACACACGCCACGACAAUCGGUGGUUGCGAAACCUCGGUUGCCCGUCGUGUGCGGUCGUCGCGCAUCGAGGGCUCGAAAAAAUUGCCGGGCUCCGGCUCGGCUUUCAACGCGACCCCAGGUCAGGCGGGGUUACCCGCUGAAUUUAAGCAUAUCAAUAAGCGGAGGA